CCUACGGGGGGCAGCAGUGAGGAAUAUUGGUCAAUGGACGAGAGUCUGAACCAGCCAAGUAGCGUGAAGGAUGACUGCCCUAUGGGUUGUAAACUUCUUUUAUAUGGGAAUAAAAUGUUCCACGUGUGGGAUUUUGUAUGUACCAUAUGAAUAAGGAUCGGCUAACUCCGUGCCAGCAGCCGCGGUAAUACGGAGGAUACGAGCGUUAUCCGGAUUUAUUGGGUUUAAAGGGAGCGUAGGUGGAUUGUUAAGUCAGUUGUGAAAGUUUGCGGCUCAACCGUAAAAUUGCAGUUGAAACUGGCAGUCUUGAGUACAGUAGAGGUGGGCGGAAUUCGUGGUGUAGCGGUGAAAUGCUUAGAUAUCACGAAGAACUCCGAUUGCGAAGGCAGUUCACUGGACUGCAACUGACACUGAGGCUCGAAAGUGUGGGUAUCAAACAGGAUUAGAUACCCUAGUAGUC
Molecule: ribosomal RNA, 460 nt
Filed under: uncultured bacterium
Lineage: Bacteria
Description: partial 16S ribosomal RNA
Rfam family: Bacterial small subunit ribosomal RNA
Source: RNAcentral